RNAcentral lists this ribosomal RNA (301 nucleotides) under uncultured bacterium. RNAcentral's name for it is "partial 16S ribosomal RNA". It matches the Rfam family "Bacterial small subunit ribosomal RNA", at positions 509 to 807 of the family's 1533-position model. The record is from RNAcentral.
CAGUAGCCGCGGGAAUACGUAGGGUGCAAGCGUUAAUCGGAAUUACUGGGCGUAAAGCGUGCGCAGGCGGUUAUAUAAGACAGAUGUGAAAUCCCCGGGCUUAACCUGGGAACUGCAUUUGUGACUGUAUAGCUAGAGUACGGCAGAGGGGGAUGGAAUUCCGCGUGUAGCAGUGAAAUGCGUAGAUAUGCGGAGGAACACCGAUGGCGAAGGCAAUCCCCUGGGCCUGUACUGACGCUCAUGCACGAAAGCGUGGGGAGCAAACAGGAUUAGAUACCCCAGUAGUCCCUGUCUCUUAUAC